AUGGAGAGCAGGCGCCAGGCGCAGGCCGCGCGCAAAGCGGCCGCCGAGGAGGAGCGCCUGGCGGACAUGGCCUCCGACCUCCUCCUGCGCUACCUCCUGCACGGCCCCGGCGCCGAGGGGAAGCGAUCCGAGGAGGAGGAGGACGAGGAGGAGGAAGGAGGGGAGAGGGAGAGGAAGGGGGCUUGGGUUGGCAAGGGGUUCGCCGCGGAGAGGGAGUUCCCCGAGGAGAAGGGGUUUUCCAUGGGGAAGGCGUCGGCGGCGGGCAACGGGUUCCCAACGGGCAACAGGUUCUCGGCGGGGAAGGAAUUCCCCGAGAAGGAAUUCUCAAUGGGGAAGGGGUCCUCGGUGAGUAAGAAAUUCUCGGCGGGUAACGGGUUACCCGCGGGAAAGGAGUUCUCCGUCGAUAAGGAAUUCUUAAUGGGCAAGGGGUCCUCGAUGGGAAAGGAAGCCCCCAGGGGCGGCGCGUGGAAAGGGCUCCCCAUGGACAACGAGAUCCCCAUGGACAACUGGGUCCCCAUGGACAACGAGGUCUUCGUGGGGAAGAAGAUCCCGAUGGGGAAGAAGAUGGCGAUGGGGAAGAAGAUCGCGACGGACACCGCCAGAUUCCUGGGCAACGAGAUCCCCGCGGGCAACGAGAUCCCCGGGGACGAGGCCCCGAUGGGCAACGAGAUCCCCGGGGACGACGACGCAGCCAACGAGAUCCCGGCGCGCGGGGACGUCCCCCUCCGCGGCCGCGUCCCCGCGGGUGACGAGGAGCUGCCGGCCGCCGCCAGCUCCCGCCCGCACGCCCCGCUCCCGUUGGCCGAAGCUCUGGCGGCGGCGCUGCCGCCGGCUCCCGGGGACGGCGGGGACGGCGUCGGCGACGGCGACGCGGGGCUGGACCCCGGGACCAUCGACCAGCUGAUCGAGCUGUCCAGCCGCCUGCACCUCCCGGCGGACGACGUGGUGGACAUCAUCCACGACGUGGAGCAGAAGCGCCAGGAGCAGGCGGCGGCGGCGGCCGCGUUCCCGCUGCCCGGUGAUGACGUCAGCGAUGAUGACGUCACCGAGGAGGAGGAGGAGGAGGAAGAGGAGGAGGAGGGGGGGGAUGAAGUCGUGGCUCCGCCGCCUCUCCCCGCCCCCCGGCCCAGGACGUUCCGGCCCCCGGCGACGCGGUGGGGGGGGAGGAGGUGGUGA
This is a long non-coding RNA of Numida meleagris (helmeted guineafowl), 1176 nucleotides long. Ensembl annotates it as VGF nerve growth factor inducible. Lineage: Eukaryota; Metazoa; Chordata; Aves; Galliformes; Numididae. The record is from Ensembl.